UAGGGUUUGAUUCUGGCUCAGAAUGAACGUUGGCGGCGUGGAUUAGGCAUGCAAGUCGCACGAGUACACCAAUUAGCUUGCUAAGAGGUGGAUAGUGGCGCAAGGGAGAGUAACGCGUGGUUACUUGCCCUCGAGACCGGGAUAGUGUUGGGAAACUGGCAGUAAUACCGGAUAACAUCUUCGGAUCAAAUGGUGUGAUUCCGCUCGAGGAUAGGACCGCGUACUAUUAGCUUGUUGGUGAGGUAACGGCUCACCAAGGCUGCGAUGGUUACCGGGUGUGAGAGCAUGGCCCGGCUCACUGGGACUGAGACACUGCCCAGACACCUACGGGUGGCUGCAGUCGAGAAUCUUCGGCAAUGGACGAAAGUCUGACCGAGCGACGCCGCGUGCGGGAUGAAGGCCCUCGGGUUGUAAACCGCUGUCAGUAGUUAGGAAGUCCAUGAGGGUUAUCUCUCAUGGUUGACCGAUCUUCAGAGGAAGGACGGGCUAAGUUCGUGCCAGCCGCCGCGGUAAUUCA
RNAcentral lists this ribosomal RNA (517 nucleotides) under uncultured Planctomycetales bacterium. RNAcentral's name for it is "bacterial SSU rRNA". It matches the Rfam family "Bacterial small subunit ribosomal RNA", at positions 1 to 527 of the family's 1533-position model. The record is from RNAcentral. Lineage: Bacteria; Pseudomonadati; Planctomycetota; Planctomycetia; Planctomycetales.